GAUGAAGAACGCAGCGAAAUGCGAUAAGUAAUGUGAAUUGCAGAAUUCAGUGAAUCAUCGAAUCUUUGAACGCACCUUGCGCCCUUUGGCCAUUCCGAAGGGCAUGCCUGUUUGAGUAUCAUGAACACCUCAACUCCUCAUGGUCUUCUAUGAUGAGCUUGGACUUUGGGGGCUUGCUGGCCCAUUUGGUCAGCUCCUCUCAAAUGAAUCAGCCUACCAGUGUUUGGUGGCACCACAGGUGUGAUAACAAUCUACGCUUGAGGUUUUCCACCAGGCAACCUUCAGUAAUUGGGGUUCACUGGGGCUCACAAAUGUCUUUCUUCAGUGAGGACAGCUCUUUGAAUGUUUGAUCUCAAAUCAGGUAGGACUACCCGCUGAACUUAAGCAUAUCAAUAAGCGGAGGA
RNAcentral lists this unclassified non-coding RNA (404 nucleotides) under soil metagenome. RNAcentral's name for it is "partial contains 5.8S ribosomal RNA, internal transcribed spacer 2, and large subunit ribosomal RNA". The stretch from base 1 to 121 matches the Rfam family "5.8S ribosomal RNA", at positions 35 to 154 of the family's 154-position model. The record is from RNAcentral.